Molecule: ribosomal RNA, 253 nt
Filed under: uncultured bacterium
Lineage: Bacteria
Description: partial 16S ribosomal RNA
Rfam family: Bacterial small subunit ribosomal RNA
Source: RNAcentral
UACGUAGGUGGCAAGCGUUGUCCGGAUUUACUGGGCGUAAAGGGCGUGCAGGCGGUCUGUCAAGUCUAGGGUGAAAGCUCCCGGCUCAACUGGGAGAGGUCUUUGGAUACUGGCAGACUUGAGGGAUGCAGAGGAGAGUGGAAUUCCCGGUGUAGUGGUGAUAUGCGUAGAUAUCGGGAGGAACACCAGUGGCGAAGGCGGCUCUCUGGGCAUUACCUGACGCUGAGACGCGAAAGCGUGGGGAGCGAACCGG